UUAGAUUUUAUUUAUUAAUUUUGUUUAUUUUAAUUUUAAGUAUUAAAAAUAAUUAUACAGAAAAAAGUUUUAGUAUUGUUUAAAGAAAAAAUAAAUUUAAUAAUAGUUUAAUAGUAUUGUAAAAGAAAAUUGAAAUAAUUUGAAAAAUUUUUAUUUAAAAAGAAAAUUUAAUUUAUUGUACCUUGUGUAUCAGCGUUUAUUAAAUAAAAAAUAUUUAUAAUUUAUUUUUCUCGAUUUUAAAAGAGUUAAUAUAAUAUUAAAGUUAAUGUAAUAAAAUUAUUUUUCAUAUUAUAUUAGAAAUGAAAUGUUAUUCGUUUUUAAAGGUAUCUAGUUUUUCAAGAAAUGAAUUAAAUUCAGAAAUUGUAAAUUUAUUUAAAAAUUUGUUUAAUUAAAUAAUUUAUAAUUUUAAUAUUUUAUGGGAUAAGCUAUAAAAUAAAUUUUUAAAAAUAAUAAAUAAGUUUAAUAAAUAUAUGCUUAGAAUUAGCAAUUGUUUAUAAUUAUGUUAUAAUUUAUUUUAUAAAUAAAAUUAUUUAUUAAAUUUUAAAUAUUUAUUGAAAUAUUAUUUGUAAUUUUUUAAAUUAAUUAAUAAUGAUAAAAUUAGUAUAUUUAUAUUGUAAAAAUAAAUUUAAAUGAAAAGUUUAUGUAAAGAAUUCGGCAAAAAUAAUGUUCGCCUGUUUAACAAAAACAUGUCUUUUUGAAAUAAAUUUAAAGUCUAACCUGCCCACUGAAAAUUUUAAAUGGCCGCAGUAUUCUAACUGUGCAAAGGUAGCAUAAUCAUUAGUCUUUUAAUUGAAGGCUGGAAUGAAUGGUUGGACGAAAUAUUAACUGUUUCAUUUAAAUUUUUUAUAGAAUUUUAUUUUUUAGUCAAAAAGCUAAAAUAAAUUUAAAAGACGAGAAGACCCUAUAAAUCUUUAUAUUUUGUUUAUUUUAAUUAUAAAGAUUAUUUUUAUUAUAAUAAAUUAAAAUAUUUUAUUGGGGUGAUAUUAAAAUUUAAAAAACUUUUAAUUUUUAAAACCAUUAAUUUAUGAAUAAUUGAUCCAUUAAUAAUGAUUAAAAAUUUAAGUUACUUUAGGGAUAACAGCGUAAUUUUUUUGGAGAGUUCAUAUCGAUAAAAAAGAUUGCGACCUCGAUGUUGGAUUAAGAUAUAAUUUUGGGUGUAGCCGUUCAAAUUUUAAGUCUGUUCGACUUUUAAAUUCUUACAUGAUCUGAGUUCAAACCGGCGUAAGCCAGGUUGGUUUCUAUCUUUAAAAAGUUGUAAUAUUUUAGUACGAAAGGACCAAAUAUUAAAAUAAUUAUAUUUUACCUAAGAAUAUUAUUAAUUUAAA
Molecule: ribosomal RNA, 1325 nt
Filed under: Drosophila grimshawi
Lineage: Eukaryota; Metazoa; Arthropoda; Insecta; Diptera; Drosophilidae
Description: large subunit ribosomal RNA
Rfam family: Archaeal large subunit ribosomal RNA (bases 1074-1233)
Source: RNAcentral